This 491-nucleotide ribosomal RNA is filed under the name uncultured bacterium. RNAcentral describes it as "partial 16S ribosomal RNA". It matches the Rfam family "Bacterial small subunit ribosomal RNA", at positions 28 to 507 of the family's 1533-position model. The record is from RNAcentral.
GAUGAACGCUGGCUACAGGCUUAACACAUGCAAGUCGAGGGGAAACGACGGGGAAGCUUGCUUCCCCGGGCGUCGACCGGCGCACGGGUGAGUAACGCGUAUCCAACCUGCCUCUGACUGAGGGAUAACCCGUCGAAAGUCGGCCUAAUACCUCAUGGCAUCGUCUGCGGGCAUCCAACGACGAUUAAAGAUUUCAUCGGUCAGGGAUGGUGAUGCGUCUGAUUAGCUUGUUGGAGGGGUAACGGCCCACCAAGGCUACGAUCAGUAGGGGUUAUGAGAGGAAGGUCCCCCACAUUGGAACGGAGACACGGUCCAAACUCCUACGGGAGGCAGCAGUGAGGAAUAUUGGUCAAUGGGCGGGAGCCUGAACCAGCCAAGUAGCGUGCAGGAUGACGGCCCUAUGGGUUGUAAACUGCUUUUAUGCGGGGAUAAAGUGAGGGACGUGUCCUUCAUUGCAGGUACCGCAUGAAUAAGGACCGGCUAAUUCCGUG